Danio rerio (zebrafish) is the source of this 609-nucleotide non-coding RNA. NCBI's taxonomy places the organism in Eukaryota, Metazoa, Chordata, Actinopteri, Cypriniformes, Danionidae. The record is from RefSeq and is a predicted model, not a curated record.
GGGGCAGGCUGUGGAUUCUGGUAUAAAAAUGCGCGUCCGCAAUUAGCGCAGUUUGCCCGUUCGCUCUCUGUUGUUAACAACAGGUUAAUAAACAAUCAAACAAACAAACAAACGCCCAUAAACACUCGACGGGUUUCACGCCAUUUACCACCUAAAUCACUUUUUGGCAGAAUUCCGACACAUUAUCCACAAAAUCUCACCCGGAGUUUGAGGCCCAUUUGGAAAGCAGCUUGCAAAAGGUUACCUGGCGUACGAGUUCGAUAAGUUCUGGUUGCAGGAGGAGCUGGAAAGCAUCAUGGAGUUUAAUCGCUACAGAGAAAAGUUCCAUGACAAGGUUACCUGGCGUACGAGUUCGAUAAGUUCUGGUUGCAGGAGGAGCCGGAGAGCAUCAUGGAGUUUAAUCGCUACAAAGAAAAGUUCCAUCACAAGGUCAAAGGUCACCUUCAGGAGCCAGAGGUCACACUCACCCUGACCCCAAAUCCAGAAAACUGAUUCCCAAUGCAUUCCAGAUCAAUUCAGAGACAAGACAAACCAAUUAAACUGCGGUGUAAGCGGUACAUCAAGUGUACAUAACUGGUCGUUUAGCUGCAUUUACCUGGUCAGGGAACA